Centruroides sculpturatus (bark scorpion) is the source of this 1308-nucleotide long non-coding RNA. RefSeq lists it as uncharacterized. The record is from RefSeq and is a predicted model, not a curated record. Lineage: Eukaryota; Metazoa; Arthropoda; Arachnida; Scorpiones; Buthidae. The transcript has 3 exons.
UUAUAAUUAUAUUUCAUUACAAGAAACCUGCUUGUUUCACUUUUAAAAACUGACUUUUGAACAUUGUGUUGUUGAAUUCUAGAUAUUUAAUUUUAUAAAUUAGUAAUGUAAUCAUUUAAAUUUUUAAAGGUCCUUUUUUACGAACACUUAAUGAAACUUUAGGAAAUUUGUAUGGACCAAAAGAGGAUGAGAAUUUCGAUGGAACAGAUAAUCGUUUUCGUAGUAGUAGUUAUUGUGCAGGAGCAACUGCUUUACAAGGAAAACAAAAAGAGAGAUAUGCUGAACUUGUUAAUGAUAUUGAAAUUGAUGAGAGCAGAAUUGUUGUUUUACAGCUAAGGCUUGUUGCCAGGACAGAUGAUUCAAGUCAACCUGAAACAGAUGAACCUAUAAAACCUUUAAUAACAAAAAGACCACCUCCGUUACCUCUUUAAAUCUAUCAAAUUGUUUUGUUUAUUGAAAUUUUAAAAUUUAUUUUUCAAAAAGAAUUUGAAAACUUCUAUGUAUAAAUUUAUGUUUAAAUAUAUUUUUAAUCAUAUGCUAAAUAUUUAAUAAAUUAUUAUUUAAUUAAAAAUAUAUAUUAAAUGUUCUUUGUUAAGAUGAUUCAGAUUGAUAUUAAUUGAAUAUAUCAAACAUCAUUGCUUAAAGAGCUUAAAUGUCUGUACCUGCUCAUUAUGGGUUAUUCUCUGCAAAUCCAUUACAGGUUUGACUGCCCCAUUGAGAGUUGGUGGAACCCAUAAUAAGUUUGCUAAAGAAAAAGGCCCUCUUAGUGCCCACAGGACAGAGAGUUAAAAGUUUAUAUAUUGGAGGUAUUGAUAUACAGUAUUUUAAAAGUAAAAUACUGAAACAUUAAAUUAUUAAAUUAUUAAAAUUGCAUUAUUUUAGUAUGUUUUCAAUAGUAUCUGCAUUUUUUUACAGUUUAUAUAUUACAUAUUUAAUGAUUUUCUGUGUAAAACACCAAUUUUUUUCUAACUAUAAAGUCAAGAACUCUUGUAACAUUAAAGAUGUGAGUGUAAAAGUAUGUACUACAUUUUUAAUGUUAAACAACCAAUCACAUCGUCACAAAGUCGGGCUGCAAUUUUUAAUCAUAUUUUUAAUUUAUUUAAUUAAAAAUAUAUGCUCUCCACCUUACCUCAAAUUAGCAGUGGUUUUCCCCUGUACAUCAUACUUUUCCUUUAACAAUAAGCUAUAUCCGCCCCAUCCCUCACCACCCGCCAGCUCAAUUGUGUCUGAACCCAUAAUGAACUUGCUAAAUGAGACCCUCUUAGUGCCCAUAGGGCAGAAAGAGUAAAAAAAAUCAAACAAAAAAAA